RNAcentral lists this ribosomal RNA (457 nucleotides) under uncultured bacterium. RNAcentral's name for it is "bacterial SSU rRNA". It matches the Rfam family "Bacterial small subunit ribosomal RNA", at positions 28 to 479 of the family's 1533-position model. The record is from RNAcentral.
GAUGAACGCUAGCGGCAGGCCUAAUACAUGCAAGACGAACGGUAAGUUGAGUAGCAAUACUUAGCCAAGAGUGUCGUACGGGUGCGUAACACGUAUGCAACCUACCCUAUACAGGAGGAUAGCCUAGGGAAACCUGGAUUAACCCUUCAUAGUAUUAUUGGAUGGCAUCAUUUGAUAAUUAAAACUGAGGUGGUACAGGAUGGGCAUGCGUCUGAUUAGUUAGUUGGCGGGGUAAUGGCCCACCAAGACGAUGAUCAGUAGGGGUUCUGAGAGGAAGAUCCCCCACACUGGCACUGAGAUACGGGCCAGACUCCUACGGGAGGCAGCAGUAGGGAAUAUUGGUCAAUGGAUGGCAAGUCUGAACCAGCCAUGCCGCGUGCAGGAAGAAGGCCUUCUGGGGUUGUAAACUGCUUUUGCCAGGGGAUAAAAUUUCCAUGCGUGGAAAACUGAAGGUACC